Molecule: ribosomal RNA, 551 nt
Filed under: Alioides sp. ud1138
Lineage: Eukaryota; Metazoa; Arthropoda; Insecta; Hemiptera; Diaspididae
Description: eukaryotic LSU rRNA
Source: RNAcentral
AUCUGGGCGGCGGAAUUCAGGAUGGCGAGCGUGUCUUCGCGGGCGCGUUCGUCGUUUGAUAUUUCCGCCGCCGAUCAUACACAGACGUCGCGACCUGUUCGCGGCCGGUCCUUGCUCGGAGGAGCUGCGUUCGAGUUCGUUGUGCGUCGCGUUUCGGCGCUUCACACGGCGAAGGCGCAGAUCUCUGGCUGGCCGUCGGACAGUAUGCUUAGCGGUGUCCGGUGUCGUCGUCUACGUACGCGCGUGCACCGGUACCGGUCGGCGACGAAUUCUUCGGGCCUCUUUCCGACCCGUCUUGAAACACGGACCAAGGAGUCUAACAUGCGCGCGAGUCGCGGGGUGUCGAACGCAUCACGGUGCGUUCGUUACGUCACGAAACCCGUACAUGUUGAAGGCGUAAUGAAAGUGAAUGGGGAAGAUGGUGUUCCGAGUACACGUUCCGCGAUCGUUGGUAUCGCGGCCGGACACCCGCAUUCCCAGGGCGUCUCAACGGCCCGUCGCGGAUGCGGACGGUCGUCUCUCGGGGUGGCCGUCGGUCUGCGACGAACCGA